Molecule: ribosomal RNA, 468 nt
Filed under: uncultured bacterium
Lineage: Bacteria
Description: partial 16S ribosomal RNA
Rfam family: Bacterial small subunit ribosomal RNA
Source: RNAcentral
GACGAACGCUGGCGGCGUGCUUAACACAUGCAAGUCGAACGAUGAUGCCAGCUUGCUGGUGGAUUAGUGGCGAACGGGUGAGUAACACGUGAGCAACCUGCCCCUGACUUCGGGAUAACCGCGGGAAACCGUGGCUAAUACCGGAUAUGACGCGCUAUCGCAUGGUGGUGUGUGGAAAGAUUUAUCGGGUGGGGAUGGGCUCGCGGCCUAUCAGCUUGUUGGUGGGGUGAUGGCCUACCAAGGCGACGACGGGUAGCCGGCCUGAGAGGGUGACCGGCCAGACUGGGACUGAGACACGGCCCAGACUCCUACGGGAGGCAGCAGGGGGGAAGAUUGCACAAUGGGCGCAAGGCUGAUGCAGCGACGCCGCGUGAGGGAUGACGGCCUUCGGGUUGUAAACCUCUUGCAGUAGGGAAGAAGGCCUUCGGGUUGACGGUACCUGCAGAAGAAGCGCCGGCUAACUACGUG